Molecule: ribosomal RNA, 253 nt
Filed under: uncultured bacterium
Lineage: Bacteria
Description: partial 16S ribosomal RNA
Rfam family: Bacterial small subunit ribosomal RNA
Source: RNAcentral
UACGGAGGGUGCAAGCGUUAUCCGGAUUCACUGGGUUUAAAGGGUGCGUAGGCGGGCAGGUAAGUCCGUGGUGAAAUCUCUGAGCUUAACUCAGAAACUGCCAUGGAUACUAUUUGUCUUGAAUGUUGUGGAGGUAAGCGGAAUAUGUCAUGUAGCGGUGAAAUGCUUAGAUAUGACAUAGAACACCGAUUGCGAAGGCAGCUUACUACACAAAUAUUGACGCUGAGGCACGAAAGCGUGGGGAUCAAACGGG